Neopsephotus bourkii (Bourke's parrot) is the source of this 304-nucleotide long non-coding RNA. RefSeq lists it as uncharacterized. The record is from RefSeq and is a predicted model, not a curated record. Lineage: Eukaryota; Metazoa; Chordata; Aves; Psittaciformes; Psittacidae. The transcript is spliced from 2 exons.
AUUGCAAAGACAGAAGGAAAAACCAAUAACGUCAUGUUAACAAAGUCAUGCAGUUCUAUAUGGUUAAUUUUACAGAAAUGAAGAGACAGCUUCCAUGGAAAACUGCAGUGGAGUAUAGUAUUGUUUACAAUAAUUUGAUUCAAGAUGUCGAAAUCGUAAAGAGUAAUUUAUAACUGAAAUAGGUGCUUUCUCCAGACUGGCGAUAUUCAACCCAAUAGCCAAGGAUCUCUUUGCCACCAUCACUUUCAGGUCGUUCCCAUUCUAACGUAAUGCUGUCCUUAAAUAUAGAAGUGAUCUCAAUUUC